AGGGCGCAGGGCGAAUGCCUUGGCACUGGGAGCCGAUGAAAGACGUGAUAAGCUGCGAUAAGCUUCGGGGAGCUGCAAAUAAGCAUUGAUCCGGAGAUUUCUGAAUGAGGAAACUCACCUGGGUUCAUACUCAGGUACGUUAUACUGAACUUAAAAAUAGGUAUAUCGAGGGAACCGCCUGAACUGAAACAUCUAAGUAGGGCGAGGAAGAGACAUCAAACGAGAUUCCGUAAGUAGUGGCGAGCGAACGCGGAAGAGGGCAAACCGGAAGUAGAAAUACUUCCGGGGUACGGACCGCAUUUAGGACUUGAGUUGUUAACCGAACGGCAUGGGAAGGCCGGUCAGAGAGUGUGAGAACCACGUAGGUGAAAACGACAAGAGCUGAGCGAGUUCCAGAGUACGGCCAGACACGUGAAACCUGGUCGGAAUAUGGGGGGACCACCCUCCAACCCUAAAUACUACCCAGUGACCGAUAGCGUAUAGUACUGUGAAGGAAAGGUGAAAAGCACCCCGGGAGGGGAGUGAAAAAGAACCUGAAACCCUGUGCCUACAAGCACCUAGAGCACGUCAAUGUGUGAUAGGGUACUUUUUGUAGAACGGUCCGGCGAGCGAUUGUAUGCAGCAAGGUUAAGGACUUAAGGUCUGGAGCCGAAGCGAAAGCGAGUUUGAAAAGGGCGUUAAGUUGCAUACAAUGGGCCCGAAACCGGGUGACCUACCCAUGGUCAGGUUGAAGUGGAAGUAAAAUUCCAUGGAGGACCGAACCGACCUCCGUUGAAAAGGCGGCGGAUGAACUGUGGGUAGCGGAGAAAUUCCAAUCGAACCCGGAGAUAGCUGGUUCUCCCCGAAAUAGUUUUAGGACUAGCCUCAAGUUAGAUACCUGGAGGUAAAGCACUGAAUAGCCUAGCGGCCGAGAGGUUAGCGAAGCUUAUCAAACUCAGAAUGCCAGAGUAUUGAUGCUUGGGAGUCAGACAGUGUCAGAUAAAUGUCAUUGUCAAAAGGGAAACAGCCCAGAUCUACAGCUAAGGUCCCAAAGUCAGGUUAAGUGGAAAACGAUGUGAAGAUACGUAGACAACCAGGAUGUUGGCUCAGAAGCAGCCACACAUUCAAAGAGUGCGUAAUAGCUCACUGGUCGAGCGUCUUUGCGCGGAGAAUUUAACGGGGCUAAACCUGACACCGAAGCUUAGGCAAUACAGCAAUGUAUUGGGUAGGGGAGCGUUGUAUACGCGGUGAAACAGUAGCGCAAGCGGCUGUGGAGUGUAUAGAAGUGAGAAUGCCGGAAUGAGUAGCGCGAAUGCAGUGAGAAUCUGCAUGGCCGAAAGCCUCAGGUUUCUGGAGGAAGGUUCGUCCGCUCCAGGUUAGUCGGGAGCUAAGGUGAGGCCUAACGGCGUAGCCGAUGCACAGACGGUAGAGAUUCCGUCACCACCAAAAGAGUUAAACACAGGGACACAUUUGAAGUCUCGGAGCCGGGUGUUGGUUCCGGUAGCGAUCGAGGGAAGUUAGUACCGAAGUCCGGGAUGGAAGAUGGCGAGAAAAGCUGUGUGUAUUUCUGCGGUGCCCGUACCGCAAACCGACACAGGUAGGUAGGAAGAAGAUUCUAAGGCCAACGGGAGAAGGGUUGUUAAGGAACUCGGCAAAUUGACCCCGUAACUUCGGGAGAAGGGGUGCUCCAGAGAUGGAGCCGCAGAGAAUCGGCCCAAGCAACUGUUUACCAAAAACACAGGUUUGUGCUAAAUCGAAAGAUGACGUAUACGAGCUGACGCCUGCCCGGUGCUGGAAGGUUAAGAGGAGAUGUGCAAGCAUUGAAUCGAAGCCCCAGUGAACGGCGGCCGUAACUAUAACGGUCCUAAGGUAGCGAAAUUCCUUGUCAGGUAAGUUCUGACCCGCAUGAAAGGCGUAAUGAUUUGGGCACUGUCUCGACAGCCCGCCCGGCGAAAUUGUAGUACCGGUGAAGAUGCCGGUUACCCGCGACAAGACGGAAAGACCCCAUGGAGCUUUACUGUAGCCUAAUAUUGGGUUUCGAUGUUGCAUGCACAGGAUAGAUGGGACACAGGGAAACAAGUGCUUUGGCAUUUGUGGAGUGGCCGUUGGGAUACCAUCCUUGCGAUAUUGGAAUUCUAACCUGCGCCUUUGAAUCAAGGCGGGGGACAUUGUUAGGUGGGCAGUUUGACUGGGGCGGUCGCCUCCUAAAGAGUAACGGAGGCGUUCAAAGGUUCGCUCAGCUUGAACGGAAAUCAAGCAAAAGAGUGCAAACGCAGAAGCGAGCCUAACUGCGAGACUGACGGGUCGAGCAGUAACGAAAGUUGGAGUUAGUGAUCCGGUGGUAUGUGAGUGGAAAUGCCAUCGCUCAACGGAUAAAAGUUACCCUGGGGAUAACAGGCUGAUCUCCCCCAAGAGUCCACAUCGACGGGGAGGUUUGGCACCUCGAUGUCGGCUCAUCGCAUCCUGGGGCUGUAUUCGGUCCCAAGGGUUUGGCUGUUCGCCAAUUAAAGCGGUACGCGAGCUGGGUUCAGAACGUCGUGAGACAGUUCGGUCCCUAUCUGUCGUGGGCGCAGGAUAUUUGAUGGGAGCUGUUCCUAGUACGAGAGGACCGGAGCGGACGUACCUCUGGCGCACCAGUUGUUCUGCCAAGGGCAUAGCUGGGCAACUAUGUACGGAUCGGAUAAACGCUGAAAGCAUCUAAGCGUGAAGCCGACCCAAAGAUAAGAUAUCCCAUUGU
RNAcentral lists this ribosomal RNA (2716 nucleotides) under gut metagenome. RNAcentral describes it as "bacterial LSU rRNA". It matches the Rfam family "Bacterial large subunit ribosomal RNA". The record is from RNAcentral.